AAACUGAAAGACACAUGUUCAAGCAAUACUUCUGAAAAUGGUUCUUCCCCUGUACCAAUACAAGCAUGGUUCUUUUUCCUAAGUUAUGCCUUGAGUUUUCAACAGACUCAGAGAAAAUACUCUUAGCUUCUCAGGAUAACUGCAAUUAACAAAAUGAGAUUUCUGUUGCAUAUCCUCCACCGAUGUUUUACUUUGCAACCUGUUUUUAUUCCUUCUCUUAUUACCUGAAAAUAGCAAAGCUAGUGAAACCGUAUCUAUACCACCUGACCUUGUUUUCCAUCGCUUUUAAGCUACAGGUUUAUUAGUCAUCUGCUAUAAGACUAUCCAAACAAGCAACAUAUGUAUGCCUCAGUUUUCCUCCGCAUAAAAACUAAUGAAUGAACAGUAGUUCAACAGUAGUUCAGCCUAUUCUGUGGAAAUAGGUAGCACAUUGACCAAGGGAUGAAUAUGUUAGGAUAUUCUGUCCUAUUCUAUAAAAUCGAUUCUAACAGGACUUUUAUACAUUUGCAAAAGUUAUUCCCUGGAAUAUUUUCUUGUAUUUUACAGCAUCUGUGGAAACUCUGAAGUCAAAAGCAGUACCUGAAAAGAAGGAAGAAAAAGCAAUGAAGGCAGGAGAGCAAGAUAAACCAAAGAUGAAACAAGCAAAUCCUGGAAAAGACAAAGAAUUGAAAUCUCCAGCUGCUACAAAAGAUAAAGAACACACUAAAGAAAAGGAAGGAAAGAAUCCUGCAGCUUUAAAAGAUAAAGAGUCUCUGAAAGGAAAAAAUCCCAAGAAUCCAGAGGGGUCAAAGGAUAAAGGUACUUCAGAAAAAACUCAUGAACACAAACCUGCAAAUAUUAAACAUGAAAAAGCUAUCUCUCAGAUGAAGCCAGAGGAGAAAAUUAAACAACCAAAGACAGCUCCCACUGAGAAGUCAGGUAGGAACAAGUCAUUCUUUCCUGAUUUAUGGGGGGGUGAGGGGGGUUUAAACACUGUUCAGAUUUUUCUGAUGUAG
This 995-nucleotide long non-coding RNA is filed under the name Cairina moschata (Muscovy duck). RNAcentral describes it as "domestica (muscovy Duck (domestic type)) lncRNA (ENSCMMG00000002565.1)". Lineage: Eukaryota; Metazoa; Chordata; Aves; Anseriformes; Anatidae. The record is from RNAcentral.